Acanthopagrus latus (yellowfin seabream) is the source of this 1643-nucleotide long non-coding RNA. RefSeq lists it as uncharacterized. The transcript is spliced from 3 exons. Lineage: Eukaryota; Metazoa; Chordata; Actinopteri; Spariformes; Sparidae. The record is from RefSeq and is a predicted model, not a curated record.
GUCACAACACACAGUUUGACAGUUUUCAUGUUUUAUUCAAACGUUUGUACAGAAAUGAUGAAGCGCUGCCUGAAAUGACCUGAAACACGACAAGAGCAUCAUCAGUGAACAACAGAACCACCAGUGUGGAACUGGACCUGACAGACUGCUGAGCACCUUAAAACAGAAACAAGAACCAACACAGGCUCGACCCAAAUAAUGCCAACAACACAAAUCUACAAUAUAAAGUCACAUUAUAUUGACAGUGACUGACAGUGUUAACAGCAGCUUCAGUUCAGUGAAGUCUGAUGGUUUUAAAGCACAUGUGGAGCUCAGUCAGGAGCUUUAAGCUCUACAAGCAGUCUGAUAAUAUUUGGUAAAUAGACGCAUUUAUACAUCACUGCUGCCCUCAUUCAUCCAUUCACUCACUCACUCACUCACUCACUCACUCACUCACUCACCGAUGGCAGUCAGCUACCAUGCAAGGUGCUGGUCUGACCAUCAGGAGCAGUUUGGGCUUCAGCCUUUUGCUCAAGGACACUUGGACAUGUGGACGGGAGGAGCCGGGGAUCGAACCAGCGACGUGUGAUUAACUGACCAGCUGCUAGAGACGCUUCAGAUCAUCAGAGGAUAAAAAUAAAAGAAUAAAAGCAACAUAGAACAGAGAGAAAGAGCUCGUCUUUGUCCUCAGCAACAUUAAUAACAGAGUCAAAGUUUGUUCGCUGCAUCAUUUUUUCUCUUCAAGCUGCACAAGAGUGGAACUGAAUCUCACCAAAUAUCAGAAUUCAUUUAAUUCUCACUUGACAGAACGAUUCAUUAAUAAUCAGUUCUGUCAGCAUUAAAGGCCACCUGCUCUCUUCUGUUACAGCUACAUGUCACUGUGCUGCAUGUGGACCAGCUCUUAUUGUGAAGGGCUGAUAGUAAUGUAUAUUAUGCUCCAUGUUGAAUAAAACAAUGAAGGAAACUAAAUGAAAGCACUUUAACAGCUCCUGAGACAGAAGCGACCUCAUCAGGUAAUGUGACUGUGACAGGUGUGUUAAUGUGGUCAGUCAGUGGAGGUGAAUCAACGGUGGAAGUGACAACAAGAGCCGAGCUGACGUAUCAGUAAAGUCCACCACCAACAACAGCAACAACUAAAAGGAGGCUGACAACUCCAGCAACAAUCCAUCCAGUGUUGGACCCUGAAACAGAUGAAAGUGGAUGUGAGAGUCAGAAGUUGAGGUCAGAUGAUCAGCAGCAGACUGGACCUCACAGCCCACACAGAACCACUAAAGGCUCAGACAGAGGAGGAAGACUCCUGCUCACAUUUAUAAACCACAGUGUUACACUUCAUCUGUUGUUCUCAUCUGAGUUUCACUGCAACUCAAAACUUCAACGCUGGAUUUUAAAGUUAAAACUCAUCUUGUAAUGAACCGACUCUGCUGCAGUUCAUGAAUAAAGUACCAGGAAGCUGUUUGUCAUGUUGGACCUUCACUGCAACACAACGCUUAUAAUUACAAGUUUACAUGGUCCAGUAAAAACUGCAGCUCCACAGCCUUUAUGUUCAGAGUCAUGAAGAAGUGUUGGACUGCUGCAGGAUUUAUUCUGUGUUUGGAUGUUUGUCACACUUCAUUGUUUCAGAUGUUCAGACAGAAUCAAAUAAAGAAGAGACAACCUGAGUUAAC